Molecule: transfer RNA, 74 nt
Filed under: Phrynosoma platyrhinos (Desert horned lizard)
Lineage: Eukaryota; Metazoa; Chordata; Lepidosauria; Squamata; Phrynosomatidae
Description: tRNA-OTHER
Source: RNAcentral
GCCACUGUGGCAUAGUGGUUUGAGUGCUGGACUAUGACUCUGGAGAUCAGGGUUCGAUUCCCCACUCAGCCACG